GAGCCAGGAUUAGAACCCAUGACCUCUGACUCCCAAACCCAUGGUCUUUCCACUGAGCCAGGCUGCUCCUCAGGAGAGAUCUCUGAAAAGUGAGCACUACAGCCUUCUGAAGCCCCAAGAAGUCUGGGUUGUUCGUCAUUUGGAAAUGGAAGUCUGAUUUAACAGAGCCCGUUGUUGGGUAGGGACCGUCUCUGUUGCCGAAC
Long non-coding RNA from Tachyglossus aculeatus (Australian echidna), 203 nucleotides. RefSeq lists it as uncharacterized. The record is from RefSeq and is a predicted model, not a curated record. NCBI's taxonomy places the organism in Eukaryota, Metazoa, Chordata, Mammalia, Monotremata, Tachyglossidae. The transcript is spliced from 3 exons.